GGCUCAGAACGAACGCUGGCGGCGUGCCUAACACAUGCAAGUCGUGCGAGAAAGUUCCUUCGGGGACGAGUACAGCGGCGCACGGGUGAGUAACACGUAGGUAAUCUGCCCUCGAGCCUGGAAUAACCUACCGAAAGGUGGGCUAAUACCGGAUAUGACCACGGGAGUUUCGGCUUCUGCGGUGAAAGGUGGCCUCUACUUGUAAGCUACCACUCAAGGAUGAGCCUGCGUACCAUUAGCUAGUUGGUGAGGUAACGGCUCACCAAGGCUGUGAUGGUUAGCUGGUCUGAGAGGAUGGCCAGCCACACUGGGACUGAAACACGGCCCAGACUCCUACGGGAGGCAGCAGUGGGGGAUAUUGCGCAAUGGGCGAAAGCCUGACGCAGCGACGCCGCGUGGGUGAUGAAGGCCUUCGGGUCGUAAAGCCCUGUCGAGGGGGAAGAAUCGGUUGCGACCUAACACGUCGUGAUCCUGACGGUACCCCUAAAGGAAGCACCGGCUAACUCCGUGCCAGCAGCCGCGGUAAUACGGAGGGUGCGAGCGUUGUUCGGAAUCACUGGGCGUAAAGCGCGUGUAGGCGGCCCAUUAAGUCUGAUGUGAAAGCCCGGGGCUCACCCCCGGAAGUGCAUUGGAAACUGAUGGACUCGAGUCCCGGAGAGGAGAGUGGAAUUCCUGGUGUAGCGGUGAAAUGCGUAGAUAUCAGGAGGAACACCGGUGGCGAAGGCGGCUCUCUGGACGGUGACUGACGCUGAGACGCGAAAGCGUGGGGAGCAAACAGGAUUAGAUACCCUGGUAGUCCACGCCGUAAACGAUGAGCACUAGGUGUCGCGGGUAUUGACCCCUGCGGUGCCGACGCUAACGCAUUAAGUGCUCCGCCUGG
Molecule: ribosomal RNA, 880 nt
Filed under: uncultured bacterium
Lineage: Bacteria
Description: bacterial SSU rRNA
Rfam family: Bacterial small subunit ribosomal RNA
Source: RNAcentral